GGGGAUGCACGGCAUCGACGGUUAGCAUGCCCACUGUGUGCAGUGUCACAGCUCAGCAAAACCUGUGUAAAAAUUUUGCUGGAUUUUACGUGCAAAGAAUAGCGUAAAGAGUCCUUACUUCACAGCUAAGGACUUCGCCUUCGCGACAGCGUAACUUACGUUACGAUUGCCUUGAGCUCUGCUCGGCCUGCGCCAAUGCGACAUCACUGAACAUGAGUUCUCAUAGUGUUCAGCUGGUGUAAUAACCAUGAGAAUAUACGUUCAGUCGCCGUCGGAGACUGAGCCAGAAAUUCUUCCGACUCGAACUUGAGGUGUUUCGUGCUAAUUUUCAGCCUCAAUUUUUAAACUAAAAUUAGUACUACACACUGUAGAUGCACCGUGUGCACCUAAUUCGGACGGGAGUUCAAAUCUCCCCAUCUCCACAA
Molecule: transfer-messenger RNA, 425 nt
Filed under: bacterium
Lineage: Bacteria
Also listed under: 1 other name
Rfam family: transfer-messenger RNA
About the family: Bacterial tmRNA, also known as 10Sa RNA or SsrA, is named for its dual tRNA and mRNA-like properties. Its role is to liberate the mRNA from a stalled ribosome.
Source: RNAcentral